This 253-nucleotide ribosomal RNA is filed under the name uncultured bacterium. Its description in RNAcentral is "partial 16S ribosomal RNA". It matches the Rfam family "Bacterial small subunit ribosomal RNA", at positions 524 to 776 of the family's 1533-position model. The record is from RNAcentral.
UACGUAGGGGGCAAGCGUUAUCCGGAUUUACUGGGUGUAAAGGGAGCGUAGACGGCAAUGCAAGACUGGAGUGAAAGGCGGGGGCCCAACCCCCGGACUGCUCUGGAAACUGUAUAGUUGGAGUGCAGGAGAGGUAAGUGGAAUUCCUAGUGUAGCGGUGAAAUGCGUAGAUAUUAGGAGGAACACCAGUGGCGAAGGCGGCUUACUGGACUGUAACUGACGUUGAGGCUCGAAAGCGUGGGGAGCAAACAGG